UACGUAGGUGGCAAGCGUUGUCCGGAUUUACUGGGCGUAAAGAGCGCGCAGGCGGUCGUUCAAGUCGCGUGUGAAAGCCCCCGGCUCAACUGGGGAGGGUCACGCGAUACUGAUCGACUCGAAGGCAGGAGAGGGUAGUGGAAUUCCCGGUGUAGUGGUGAAAUGCGUAGAUAUCGGGAGGAACACCAGUGGCGAAGGCGACUACCUGGCCUGUUUCUUGACGCUGAGGCGCGAAAGCUAGGGGAGCAAACCGG
RNAcentral lists this ribosomal RNA (254 nucleotides) under uncultured bacterium. RNAcentral's name for it is "partial 16S ribosomal RNA". It matches the Rfam family "Bacterial small subunit ribosomal RNA", at positions 524 to 776 of the family's 1533-position model. The record is from RNAcentral.